Molecule: ribosomal RNA, 468 nt
Filed under: uncultured bacterium
Lineage: Bacteria
Description: partial 16S ribosomal RNA
Rfam family: Bacterial small subunit ribosomal RNA
Source: RNAcentral
GACGAACGCUGGUGGCGUGCUUAACACAUGCAAGUCGAACGGAAAGGCCCUGCUUUUGUGGGGUGCUCGAGUGGCGAACGGGUGAGUAACACGUGAGUAACCUGCCCUUGACUUUGGGAUAACUUCAGGAAACUGGGGCUAAUACCGGAUAGGAGCUCCUGCUGCAUGGUGGGGGUUGGAAAGUUUCGGCGGUUGGGGAUGGACUCGCGGCUUAUCAGCUUGUUGGUGGGGUAGUGGCUUACCAAGGCUUUGACGGGUAGCCGGCCUGAGAGGGUGACCGACCACAUUGGGACUGAGAUACGGCCCAGACUCCUACGGGAGGCAGCAGUGGGGAAUAUUGCACAAUGGGCGGAAGCCUGAUGCAGCAACGCCGCGUGCGGGAUGACGGCCUUCGGGUUGUAAACCGCUUUCGCCUGUGACGAAGCGUGAGUGACGGUAAUGGGUAAAGAAGCACCGGCUAACUACGUG